RNAcentral lists this ribosomal RNA (253 nucleotides) under uncultured bacterium. Its description in RNAcentral is "partial 16S ribosomal RNA". It matches the Rfam family "Bacterial small subunit ribosomal RNA", at positions 524 to 776 of the family's 1533-position model. The record is from RNAcentral.
GACAGAGGGGGCAAGCGUUGCUCGGAAUCACUGGGCGUAAAGGGCGCGUAGGCGGGAUGGCAAGUCGGUCGUGAAAUCCUUCGGCUCAACCGAAGAACGUCGGCCGAUACUGCCGUUCUUGAGGGAUGCGGAGGAGAUUGGAAUUCCCGGUGUAGCGGUGAAAUGUGUAGAGAUCGGGAGGAACACCGGUGGCGAAGGCGGGUCUCUGGGCAUCUCCUGACGCUGAGGCGCGAAAGCGUGGGGAGCAAACGGG